GGGGAAGUAUUGCACAAUGGGCGCAAGCCUGAUGCAGCCAUGCCGCGUGUAUGAAGAAGGCCCUAGGGUUGUAAAGUACUUUCAGUCGGGAGGAAGGCGUUGAUGCUAAUAUCAUCAACGAUUGACGUUACCGACAGAAGAAGCACCGGCUAACUCCGUGCCAGCAGCCGCGGUAAUACGGAGGGUGCAAGCGUUAAUCGGAAUUACUGGGCGUAAAGCGCACGCAGGCGGUUGAUUAAGUUAGAUGUGAAAUCCCCGGGCUUAACCUGGGAAUGGCAUCUAAGACUGGUCAGCUAGAGUCUUGUAGAGGGGGGUAGAAUUCCAUGUGUAGCGGUGAAAUGCGUAGAGAUGUGGAGGAAUACCGGUGGCGAAGGCGGCCCCCUGGACAAAGACUGACGCUCAGGU
Molecule: ribosomal RNA, 405 nt
Filed under: uncultured Providencia sp.
Lineage: Bacteria; Pseudomonadati; Pseudomonadota; Gammaproteobacteria; Enterobacterales; Morganellaceae
Description: bacterial SSU rRNA
Rfam family: Bacterial small subunit ribosomal RNA
Source: RNAcentral